UACGGGGGGGGCAAGCGUUGUUCGGAAUUACUGGGCGUAAAGGGCUCGUAGGCGGCCAACUAAGUCAGACGUGAAAUCCCUCGGCUUAACCGGGGAACUGCGUCUGAUACUGGAUGGCUUGAGUUUGGGAGAGGGAUGCGGAAUUCCAGGUGUAGCGGUGAAAUGCGUAGAUAUCGAGAGGAACGCCGGUGGCGAAAGCGACUUACUGGACCGUUUCUGACACUGAGGCGCGAAAGCUAGGGGAGCAAACAGG
Molecule: ribosomal RNA, 253 nt
Filed under: uncultured bacterium
Lineage: Bacteria
Description: partial 16S ribosomal RNA
Rfam family: Bacterial small subunit ribosomal RNA
Source: RNAcentral